AAGGGUACCCUUAAUGCCCAACCAAGAGUUAAUAGUUACGUCCUAUUUUGGCCUGGACGUAAUGGUUGGUAAGCUC
RNAcentral lists this non-coding RNA (76 nucleotides) under unclassified sequences. RNAcentral's name for it is "L13-Bacteroidia ribosomal protein leader". It matches the Rfam family "L13-Bacteroidia ribosomal protein leader". The record is from RNAcentral.